CCCCUAGAUGUUCUGGGCAGCACGCGCGCUACAAUGGUCUUCGCAAACGGAUGCAUUCUCGAAGGAGAAUGCCAAUCUUGGAAUCUAUGCCUUGGUCGGGACAGUUGCUUGCAAUUUUUCGACUCGAACCAGGAAUUCCUUGUAAUCGUGAUUCAUCACAUCACGAUGAAUACGUCCCUGCCCUUUGUACACACCGCCCGUCGCUCCUACCGAUCGAAGAGUUAGGUGAAUUGUUUUGAUCGAUAAGAUUUGACUAUGGUCAACUCUCGUUGUGAAAUUCUGUGAAUCUGACUGUUUAGAGGAAGGAAAAGUCGUAACA
This 319-nucleotide ribosomal RNA is filed under the name uncultured eukaryote. RNAcentral's name for it is "partial 18S ribosomal RNA". It matches the Rfam family "Eukaryotic small subunit ribosomal RNA", at positions 1470 to 1796 of the family's 1831-position model. The record is from RNAcentral.